Molecule: non-coding RNA, 690 nt
Organism: Heterocephalus glaber (naked mole-rat)
Lineage: Eukaryota; Metazoa; Chordata; Mammalia; Rodentia; Bathyergidae
Source: RefSeq, a predicted model, not a curated record
CAGGGUGGGGGAGGGCGCGCGGGUUCACCGGCCCGCGGCCUCCGCGGCACCGUCUGGUCCUUCUCCUCUGAUCCGAGCCUCUGGCAGGGGACGCGGAAGGGUGGUGGAGCCGGCUCUGCCUUCCCAAAUGGUGAAUCCGAGGCAGGGGAAAUGAAUUGGCCUGCCCAGGGUCCCAAGCUUGAAGCUAGGUCUCCUUCCUCGGACGGGUGAGCGCUCUCUAGGAGGGUUUGGGACCUGGGACCGGGGCAGGGAGCUGUCGGGCUAGACGUGAGAAGAGACAGAAGCGGACGGCGCCUGCCAGGAAGAAGAAUCAGUCAGCGUGAGGAGUGGUGAGGGAAGGCCUGUCAAAGAAUACUCCACCAAAAUGAAGAGGAGGAGGAGAGGAAGAAGAUGAAGACGAUGGGAGGUGCAUAGACCAAAGAAGAUUGGCCAAAUGUUAAAUUUUGAAGCUAGGUGAUGGGGGAGUUAUCAUUUAUGGGCACGUUUUUAAAGAUUCAUAAGUUAUUUUUCAAAAAGCGACUGUUACAUAGGCAGUAUACAGAAGAGGCAAGUCAGCAAGCACGGAGAUGAGCCUAGCUGGGAUGAAAAUAAGGGUGACAGGGGCCGGGGAUUUAGUUCAGUGGUUCUGCAGCCUGCCUUGCAACCCCAAGGACCCGAGUUCGAUCCUUGGUACCAAAAAAAAAAAAAAAA